RNAcentral lists this transfer RNA (70 nucleotides) under Marmota monax (woodchuck). Its description in RNAcentral is "tRNA.Undet". Lineage: Eukaryota; Metazoa; Chordata; Mammalia; Rodentia; Sciuridae. The record is from RNAcentral.
GGGGCUGUAGCUCAGUGGUAGAGUGCUUGCCUAAGCAUGUGUGAGGCACUAGGUUUGAUCCUCAGCACCA